GGCGGACGGGUGAGUAACGCGUGGGAACGUGCCCUUCUCUCCGGAAUAGCCCUGGGAAACUGGGAGUAAUGCCGGAUACGCCGUUUCGUGGAGACACGGGAUGGGAAAGAUUCAUCGGGGAAGGAUCGGCCCGCGUCGGAUUAGGUAGUUGGUGGGGUAACGGCCUACCAAGCCGACGAUCCGUAGCUGGUUUGAGAGGAUGACCAGCCACACUGGGACUGAGACACGGCCCAGACUCCUACGGGAGGCAGCAGUGGGGAAUCUUGGACAAUGGGGGCAACCCUGAUCCAGCCAUGCCGCGUGAGCGAUGAAGGCCUUAGGGUUGUAAAGCUCUUUCAGCGGGGAAGAUAAUGACGGUACCCGCAGAAGAAGCCCCGGCUAACUCCGUGCCAGCAGCCGCGGUAAUACGGAGGGGGCUAGCGUUGUUCGGAAUUACUGGGCGUAAAGCGCACGUAGGCGGACCAUCAAGUUGGGGGUGAAAUCCCGGGGCUCAACCCCGGAACUGCCUUCAAAACUGUUGGUCUGGAGGUCGAGAGAGGUGAGUGGAAUUCCGAGUGUAGAGGUGAAAUUCGUAGAUAUUCGGAGGAACACCAGUGGCGAAGGCGGCU
This 608-nucleotide ribosomal RNA is filed under the name uncultured bacterium. Its description in RNAcentral is "bacterial SSU rRNA". It matches the Rfam family "Bacterial small subunit ribosomal RNA", at positions 97 to 726 of the family's 1533-position model. The record is from RNAcentral.